UUUUUUUUUUUUUUUUUUUGGUUUUUGGCUUAAUUACAAUUAGAUUGGUUGAUAUCAUCAUUGAUUCAUUACCAUUCAUGCAAUCGUCUUAGAGGCUGUCUAAAUUUGUUAGGAAUGUAAGAGUCUUGCCCAUUUUUAACUUGCUAUAGCUAGCUAUUCUUGCUGUUCAUAAUUCUGAAGUUCCACAUUUAUUAUUUCUUGGUUUUGAAUUUCUAUAUAGUAAUCCUUUCACCCAUAUCGUUCACUUUUAUAAUUUUUUUCUACUAUUUUCUUUUUUUGUCCAGAAACACAGGAAGCAUAUAAAUAAAGCAAGAGAAGUAUUGGUUAGAAAUCCACCUAUUUUUGAACCCAACGUGAGUAGAUAUCCAUCCCUGAGUGAGAGAAAAAAACCAUCUUUCUUUGAAUCCAAUAUGACUAGAUAUCUAACCCCUCAACCUACAACCAUGAGGACGAGAAAAAUACCUAGUAUUUUCGACACCCUGAUGGGAACAAAUCCAACUGAACAUAGUCAAAGCCCCUAUACUCCUAGUUUUGCUCCUUCUCAAUUUACACACCCAAAAACUUACCUUAGUGAGGGCACAGCUUAUAACCAAAUGGACGCACUCAAUCAGCUGCUUGCUAAUCCCAGUAACAACCCGCCAAUGACCAGCAAUCAUCAAAAUUCAUAUGCAAAUUUUGGAAAUCAAGAAUCUUCCCAAUUGAACCAUGUUCAGUACUCAGCUGAUCAGGGCAAAGGAAAACAAGUUUUGUCUUCCUUUGGAGGAUAUAAUGACAAUCAUGUUGCUCCAGCUGAUGAUUUAUGCAAGACCAACGUGGAUGCUCUGAUUGAAGCAAUUAAAAAGGAAUUGGCAGAUGCUCUUGGAGCUGAUGCCAAUUUGCGUCAAGAUAUGAAGUUCUUGGCCAGGUACAAUAAUGUUGUUCCUCAACAAAGCUCACACCAAACACCAUCCGAGGUGUUUUCUGCAGCUUGUAAAGACUUAUUGGCACCAGCAGAGACAGAUUUCGACAUUGGGGAACAGAUGACUUACACUUAUAAAGAUCUUGCAAUGAUUUUGAAUGACUUGAAUGCUGGUAGUGAAGGCAUUUCACGGUCAAGCUCAGACCAAGAACCGCCCGUGGAGUUUUCUACAGCUUGUGAAGACUUGGCACCAGCAGAGACAGAUUUCGACAUUGGGGAACAGAUGACUUACCGUUAUGAAGAUGUUGCAAUGAUUUUGGAUGACUCGAGUGUUGGUAAUGGAAACAAAACAGGAUCAAGCUCAGAGUCCCCAGACCCGCCAUUGCCAGACAAUGUUGCUGAUGACGAUCAUGAUUUCACUGAACGGCUCAACAUAGAAGAUUUUUCUGAGCUUUUUGAAAUCUUUCCAGACAUUCAAGAUGGAGCUCCUUAGUUGGGCUUGCUUCUGAAUUAAACGAGAAGAAUAGCUGGCUAUCUUUUAGUUUGUUUUUAAGACAUUAGAAGAAGUCUAAGUUCUAAACAUUGAGCAAAAUAUAGAAAUGGACCUUUAUCCAAUGGAGAGUUGCAUUGAAGUAUGGUUUAUAAUGAUUUAUAGGAAAGAUGCCAUCUUUUGUUCGAAAAGUAUAGGAAAUGACGCAGAACACCUUCUCAAAAACAAUAUCUAAAAGGUGAAAAAAAUAAGAUACUACUGGUAUACCGUUCGUGUGUGCCUUUUGUUUGAUCUACCAGACCAACAACAAAAACAUCGGAAUGAAAUUGAUGACAACAACAGUCAUUGCAACGGUUUUCACGAUUUUGAGUGCUAGGCAUACGUCUGAAAAUGUUAACAAGAAAAAGAUACAUGCGAAGCUUAUUGCUUGGACCUUUGUUCGUUUAAGAUGAGAUGUGCUCAAUGCCCAAAAUGAGAAAAUUCUACGACACCUUAGAUUACAAUUUAAUGAUACCAAUCUUGGUCGAAGUAAGAAUAAAGUUGCAAUAAUCAAGAAAAGGAACUUCCUAUAUGAUAUUAUACCUUUCAUGUACAGGAACUAGUUAUACAUCCAUGGCCUAUUUUAGUCGUCUAUAUUGGUUAUAGGGCCUUUAAACCAAUACCUAGCACUAAAGACCCAAGCAGUGACAGUAAGAAUAAAUAGGCCACCAACAGCAACUGGCGUAUAGUUGAGAGUUUGAUCGGUAACGGGAUAGGCAACGGGCAAGGAGAACAGCACAGAGAUGGUUGCAACCCACACCACAGCAAUCCAACCAACAAGGACCCCAAAACUUCCCAAAUUGAAAGGCCCUGGGGUGAAAGAUUUUCGUGCCAAAGUCACCCUAAAGAAGAUAGGUAGGGCAUAGGCAAUGUACAGUCCAAUAGUUGCUAUGGAUACCAUGGCCUGAAAUGCGACCAAGCUCCCAAGAGACUGCCCAAAAAAAAAAAAAUGUAGAGCGUGCGAUAUUCAGUUAAAGGAAUGAUGAAUAAAAACGAACAGUGGGUGCUCAUCUUAAUUGGUAAUAGCUAAAGUAAAUGCACAUAUGCAAGUAAACUCACACUGCAUUUUAAAGGUUCUUAAAAUUCAAUAGAAAGAGAAUUUGCACUUCAUUUUAAAGAUUCUUAAAAUCUGACGUGCACUCAAAGUCUUGUGGUUCCCCUGGUCUACAGGAAAAUGCAGAAAAGAGAGGUUCAUACCGUAAGUGCCAUGCAGAAUGCAAUAAAAGCUGAAAGCCAAACUGCAUUUAUGGGAACCUCUUGCUUGUUUACUUUGUGCCACAAGGAUGACAAAGGCAUAGCUCCAUCCCUUGAGAAUGCAUAGGCCAUCCUGAGAAUGUAUAUCAAUUUGACCGUUAAUGGAAAUCUUGCUACACAUGAAGAAACCAGCAGAAAAAAUUAAAAAGAAUGGUUACCUUGAAUUGCUAGUUAUUGAGCUCAUGCCGCAGAAAAAUAUGGCAACAGCAACAAUACACAAGCACACAAUUCCACCAGCUCCACUCCCAUAUCUACUUUUGAACACUUGGUAGAAAAUUUCAGCGAUGGCAUAACCACCAGCAUCAUUGUCCUUGCUCAAAAGAUUUGGGAUGUUCGUAACUGAAAAUGUGAUACCAAGUAUAUAACCCCAUCCAACAAUUAUAGAUAUCCCGAUGGAACUUAUUAUUCCCUUAGGGCCAUUCUUAUCUGCACUCUUGGUUUCCUCUGACUAGCAGCAGAAGUAAUAAUGUAAGAGAAAUUAUCUAACAAAAUUUGUUUGGUUAAGAAUAAGAUAAAUGACUUAAAAACUGGAGAACAAGCUCUCAAAAUGUGAGAUCUGAAUUUCUUGCAGAGCACAUAGCAGAUAAGCUAGAUGCCUAGAUGAUUAAUCGAAAAUGAAACCAAAUAUCUGGUAAUCAGUUUUGUAAUCUAAAGUACCUUUUAGCUGCUGGUUGCUCAAUUGUUCCAUUCUGAUAUGAAUGUUGUUCUUACAUCAGACAGUGCUAGUAUAUGAGCAUGACAGUACUUAAUCCUUGAGAUUCUUUAUCUCAUAGAUUUUAUUUAAGAAUGUGAUAGCAUAAUCAAACUCCAGAAAGGAUAAGGGCAAUACAUAGAGAUAGAUGUAAUUUUUAUUGUAUUUGCGUCAUCAAAGUCCCAACACAAAAAAUGAAUAAGCGCAAUAAAUUAGAGAUGAAACUUACCAUGUGGGCAGAUGCAUCAUACCCAGUCAGCGUAUACUGGCUCAUAAGAAGCCCGAGUAUAAAUAUGUACAAUUUACUGUUGACGCCUACCCCAUUUUCAGUGUUGAAAUGAGUAAACACAAACUUAGCACUGGCUCUUUCAGUUGCAACUGUAGGAAUCACAAUCAUGAGUAUAAAGACUCCUGAAACCAAAAGAGUAUCUUGUAAGACAAUCAGGUGAGAAUUGAAACGGACUUAUAGAACAGUUUUGUCGUCAGUCUACCUAGUACAUUCCAUGCAGCAGCAAGCUGUCCAAAGAAUGAUAACCACGAGAUAGGAAGACUGUUUAAGACAGCAUGUGAGAGCAAAAUUGCAGCAUGGAUGGCAAUAACUACAUACUUAGAGGCCUCAUAUCCCCCUCCAGAGGUUCCACCAGUACUCAGAAGGAUGAUCACCUGAAUCAGCUGUGCAAGUGAAAAAUCCACGCUUGUUGUAACUGCCCACUGGAAAGAGAAAUUUCUUUACUAGUUAAACAUAAUUGUGGUGUCACCAAGCAUGAAGAGGAUUGACAGAAAUAGAGUGAAGAAUCUUGAACUGCAGACUAAAAGUUUAAAUACCUGACCAACAAUGUUGAACCUGUAAAGCCAAAACAAGAAAAACAAAAAAUAAGUACUCAGCCUCUACCAAUGGAUUUAUAGCAAGACAUAGCUGGCGAUAGUUUAUCAAACAGAUUGCUGCCUAUAGAAACCAAACUCUACAUAGUAAGAGGGUGAUCCAGAUGAAGAUGGUCCAUUAUGCCACUACCCAAGAACUCAGAGAAAAUGGAGUACAAGAACUUCGUCUUGAUUCAUUCGAGCAAAAACUAAAUGACCAAUAUAAUAGGCUUCUCAGAACUAUAUAAGUUAACUACACAUCACCAGAAUCUCAUCCAUUUAUGGCAAAACACCAAACGUCCACAAAAGUCAGUAAUUCAUGAAAUUUCUUAUAAUAGUACUUUUUGCAAAGGUAGGACAGCAUCGUGUAUUUAAGUAAAAUUUACUUCAGUUACAGAAGAAAUGAAGUCCAAUAAUGGAACUAAAGCAAAAGGUGAGCUUAUAGAACUAACACCUUACAUGGGAAACAAUGUCUAGGUCCAAAUUUCAUCUGUUCCUAAAAUUGCUAAUCUUAUGGAAGAUAAAUUCUAACGUCUAACUUUCAAAGAACAAUACAAGACCAACGAAACAUAGGCAACUAAUUGGCGCUGACCUCAAAAAAAUUUUAAAAAAAUACCAACUGUUAUAAAUAGGUUGGGCUCCCUGAAUUGCAAAUUGAAAUAAAUGACAGCCACUGGUAGACCCCUAGCAAUUGAAACAGAGAAGAAUACCCUCAAUUAAAUGUCAUUAAUUAUUCAAACAAGCAAGAUUUUCAAUUACCAGCCAGUGAUCCAGGAUGCAAAGGGUGCCCAACUAGGGCCAGCAAGCUUAGCACUCCAAUAAUAGAGUCCUCCAGAAGUAGGAUAAGAAGAACAUAUCUCAGCCAUGGAUAAUCCCACAACCAUAGUAAAACAACCAGCAAUUAUCCAUCCAUACACCAAAGAAACAGGCCCACCAAAAUUCAACCCCGUAUUAUACAGUGUAGUCACACCAGUCAACACUGAUAUAAUUGAAAAUGAAAAUGCAAAAUUCGAAAAAACCCUGCACCAAAAAAUCCCAAAAAAAAAACACAAGAACCAAAACAAAAAAUAUCAAAUACCCACAUCAGAAAUCAGAUAAAAAACAAUAUUCCGAAUGAGUUAUGGAUUGAAUAAUUACGAGAGGUCUCGCUUGAGUUCUUGCUUGUAUCCUAGCUCAUGCAAGCGUGCAUGGCCUGAAUCAAUGGAUGAUGUGCCAUUGCUUUGUUGAACACGUUGUGGAAGCACUUCGCUCUUAUCUUCACGAUUCCACACCAUUUUUUUGAAAUUCAAGUGAUCAAAGAGAGAGAUGAGGGAGGUGUGUACUCUUAUUCAAGAUAUGAAACCUUGAAUUGUGCUUUAGUUAUCAAUACACACCCUUUUAUCUCUCUCUUUCUGUCCGAGUAGCUGAGAGUUUUCUUGAGAACUUCCAGCUACUGUUUGUUCAUGGAAAUGAUGAUGGAUUUAAUAUAGAUUCCGUGAGAGGAAUAUUCACUGAACCAUCAUCAAAACCGUGCUUUUUCCUCUGCGGACACUUUUCGGAAUCAAAACCGUGCUUAAUUAGUCUGUUGGGGGUAAUUAUUUUGGUGGAGGAAGCAAAUGUGAUGGUCAACCAAAGCUGUGGGAAAGUCAAAGAGACAACUGGGGUUAGUUGGGUUGCCUUUUCUUUAUUAAUUUAUUUUCUUGAUUUUGUGAUAUAUAUUUUUUUAUUUUUUCAGAUUUAUGGGAAAGAGAAAUAAAGGAAUCUCUUAUUGAGAUGAGCACUUUAAAAAAUUGGCUUUUGCUCAGCAUACCAAAGAUUAGGUAAUCGUACCAUCUCUUAGGCCAUCCUAAGGACAAUUGAUCGAUUUGUACAUUGCUUUUGACAGUGACUAAUUUGGGGUUGCGGUCCCGGGAUGCGAAGGAGGGGGGGGGGGGGAAGGGAUAUUUUAAUGACAAUAGAUAUUUUAUUGGGUUACGUUGAAUUUAAUUUUAUUUAUAAAAAUUAUAUUUAUAUAAAAUAAAAAAAGAUUAAAAAUAUAUUUACGAAGAAUGUCAUAAUUUUUUUGUCGAAGAAAACUACAAUCGAAGUAAGUUACCAUUUCUUUUGCAAUCGCUGACUUAAUUAUUCUAAACAAUUUGAAUUUUAAAAGCUUGAAAUGUUGAUGAGAUUAUACCAUUUCUCUUAUAUGAAUGACAACGGUACCGACGACAUAUUUUUCUUCUUGACAUGGUAAGAUUUUCAGGGGAAAAAAAAGGUUUUCUCACCUCAUUUUACUUCAUAAGAUCUAAACUAAAAUCUUAAAUUAUUUAAAUACAAAAGAAACGAGUCAAGAAGAAACAUGUGAACACCGUGUAGUCAUUUUACAUUACAGGUGUGUAGGACAGAAAACGAUGAAAUGGUAGGGAGCAAAUGUGGCAGCUUGAGAAGAAGAAAACAAAACAAAUAGCGAGAAGAACAAAAGGAGGAGAAAAGACAAAUUUGUGUAGCUCAUCCUAAAUGCUAAAUUUAUGUGACAAAAGAAGCAAGGAACAAAUAGAGUUCAUAUCAUAGUCAUUGUUAGUCUUUUAUUUUUUUUUUUGGUCGACAUGAUAACUUUUAAUUUAGACCUACUCCUACGUUACAACAAGGGAAAGGAUUGGAUUCCAAGGAACCGAUGAAAAAUUCAGAGGAGACUAAAUCGCUAUCGGAUCAGACGGAUGUCAUUGCACUCGCUGAUAAAUUUUUUCAGAAAAUCCUGCAGAAGAAUGCAAGUCAAGAAAUUUGAUCUCUUGAUCUACAUCCAAUGAGAGCUUUAAACCUCUUCUAGUGGCCAACUACUCUAUAAAUAGUUGGUACAGUCAUUGUAAGUCGAUUCUCUUCUUUUCAAUGUUCAAAACAAAGUUAAAAUUGUCGAAGACUUGAGAGCCGUUUAGGUUUUAUGGCCGGAACUGGGCAGCAGAGUGAUUUGCAUUACAAUUUUUGCAUGUGAACAAAUCAACUGAGAAUCUAAUAUUCAAAUGGAAAAAGAUGAAGAACCAAAGAAUGCGGCUACUGCAUCUCACGUGCGAAAAUGUGGCCUCCAAGAAAUCCAGUAAAUGGCUUGAUUGUGUUUGGAUAGGUAUUACUAUUGAGUAAAUCUUAAAUUCAAAUGAGUUGUCAAUAUAUUCACAGUGAUUGUGUAUACACUGUUAUUGUAUAAAUGAUUAAUUUAUUGUUAAUUUUUAAGAAAUUAUUUGCUUACAUCACAAAUAUAUUUUUUAAUACACAUUUUGAUCUUUUCAAUUACCUUUUAUUUUACAUAUAUCACAUCACGAAAAGUGUUAUAAUAAUUAUUCCAAAUAGUAUUUCAAAUUUGUCAUUUGUUGCAAUAAACUAGGUACUCCAGAAAAUAUUCCCAAAAAAAAUAAUAACAUAGAAUGAGCAAACGUGCAAGUAUUUUUUUGCUCAAAUUUCAUACAUAUAAAAUUAUCUUUAUGUUGUUAGUCAUGAAAAUAAAAUGGAAAGGGUUAAAUCCUAAAUAUGUUUUCUACCUUUCAUUUUUUCUUAAAGAAACGUUAAGAACCUAACAUCAUGCAUGUGGAUACUUACAAUUUCUUUUUUUUUUUAAUUAUCUUUUUGGAUUAAAUUCCAUUCUUUUGGAGCAAGGUGUUUCAAUAUUUUGACUAAGCUGAAAAGCAAAUAUAGAUUUACUAUUUUUUUUAUUCUUAUAAAAGUGCAAGAUAAUAUUAGUGCUAUUAUCUCAAAUCGCAAUCGGACCAAGGCAACCCAUCAUAUCCAAUGUUGUUGCUAACCAUUAUGGUCCGUAAACAGACUGAAAUAUUGCGAAAACAGCACCGACUAAUUUGAACCGAAAAAUGAUUGGAGAAUUGUCCAUUGACCCAGACCCAUACAAGAAAACAAUCCUUCUAAUUGGUAUUAUUGCAUCUAAAGUCUACAAACGCUGCAGUUUUACUUGAAUUAAUUGGCGAUUGCGUAACUAACCGAUUAGCUAGCUGAUUAUUUCAAGUUAUACACCAGCUCUUUUUUUUUUCUUCUUAUUUUGUCUUAUUAAUGGGGCUUGCUAUGGGUCAAGUAAUGUGGACAACAAAUCAUUUAUUUUGGGUAGAAAAAUUGUCAGAAUUCAGUCCGCUUCAAUUCUGAAAGCGAUCCUGCUCAAACAGUUUAUGAAGUUGAAUUUCUUUCUCUAAAUAUUUUAUCUAGACAAGGACGAAAGAAUGAAUCAAAUUACUUGAUAUUCGAAACGAACUUGGUCCUGUUAAAACUAGUUUGAACUUUAUUUUUCAACUAAUCAAACUAAACACGAAUAGUAUUUCGUGUUCGAUAAAAUUUGAAAGUAGACUAUGAACUCAGCUCAAUUAGCUUAAAGAUUGAAACUUGAAAAUUAAGUGAAAAAAACUCAAAACUAAUUAAUGCGAGAUCGGCUUGAUAAAAGGUUGUCGAGAGUUUGGCUCGGUUUCGAAGUUGUUAAAAUAAACAGAGAAAUUUGAACAAUGGAGUGUUCUACUUUAUUAGACUCAUUCACACUUCUAUCUAGCCAUAGUCCUAAAAAACUCAAAUUCUUCAUGGAAAUAAAUUUGGAGAGAAUUAAUUUCUUGUUAACAGCCAAAGUUCUCUUUCAAUUGAGGCUUAGGGUGGCAACGGGUGGAGUUGAGUUUGAACACUAAUCUAUUCGAACUCGAUCUUGAAGUAUAUUUGUUUGAGUUUGACAAACCUUCAAUUUCGAAACUCGAGCACGACUAGUGAGAAGUAUGAAGUGUCUGAGAUCAAGUUCAAAAAGUCACUUGCUCAAGUUCAAGUUACUCGAGUUCAAGUGAUAAAAAAUGUAAUUUGUUAUAAGAAAAUAGGUUCUGUUUAUGAGCUACUUGAUUUGUUUGCCACUGCUAAUAAAAUAGCUAUUGCUUUCAACACUUGGAUUCGAACUUUAGGUGAACUUUACCUAGGGCCCGAGGUUCAUGAAAAUCAAUUCGAAUAUGGGCCCAAUAGCAGCAGAUAUAUUCGUUGAGACACAAUGCAGAUUAUCAAUUAAGGACAAAGGUUUCAACAAUCUACACAGCGUCAAAAUGCAAAAAAUAUUUGUGUUAAUAUGAUUUUGCGGAAGCACAAAAAUAAGAAGACAAACAAUACUGAUGGUAGUUUGAUUACGUACCAGCCAGUGAGCCAAGAUGCGAAUGGGCUCCAUCCGUUACCACAGAGUAUAGCACUCCAAAAAUAUAGCCCAGCAGAAGUCGGGUAAGCAGAGCAGAUCUCAGCCAUUGACAGGCCCACAAUCAUCGUCAUUAAACUAACAAUAGGCCACCCGUAAACCAUAGCAAUGGGCCCACCAAACGACAGGCCCUGAUUGUAUAGUGUUGUUAUUCCCGUCAUGACUGAUAAUAUUGAAAAAGUGACCGAAAAAUUGGCCAGGAACCUUCAUACACCAAAAACACAAUAAUGAAAACGAAAAUUUACAAGUCAUUGAUCUUCAUAAAAUUUACUAAACCAGGUAGUUAGAACUGGCGUUUAUUUUCUUUUCUUUUGAAGUAGAAAAAUGUCGUUAAUGUAAAAAUCAUAAGACUUGUAGAAUUGACCCCAUAUAAAGUAACAGUAGUAUCUAAAAUAAACACUCAUUAGGUACACCGAAUAUUCACAUAUGUUCAGUGCCCUCCUAAAAUGUCCCUCCAAGAAUGCUGUGAGUGUGUUUGGAUAGGAUAUUAUUUGGGAUAAUUUUUUGAAAAAAAUACUAUAACAUUUUUUUAACGUGAUGUAUGUGAACUAAAAAGAUGGUUCAAGGUAUGUAUAUGAUAUAAGCAAAUAAAAUUAUACAAAGAAUAAAAUUCUCUCUCAAAAAACAAGGAAAUGUAAUUGUUUUUGGUCCAUUUGAUACUAAAUAGUACAAUAAAAAUAUCUAACAAAAGAUUACUCCCUGCCCCCCUGAAGUGGAGUCAAAUCAUAGAUUACUGAUUUAACGAAAGAAUUAAUGAAUUGGAAGACAAUAGCAUAAACAAAACUUGAAGGGUUGCCUUUUCUUUUGCAAAUUUCUUUUUCAACAACUGUUCAAAAUAGAUACCAUGUUUCCUAUGAAAUAAACAAGUUUUAGUGGACCAACGUGUCUUGUUUAUCUGAACCAUCCAAGGUGCUUCCCUUCUUUAUCACAAUUAACCAAGUAAACCUUUAGAUUCCACUAGCUAGAUUGUCAUGCAAUGUUGCAGUGAUGAAGUAAAUUAAGGUGGAUUUCAAGAACUUUGAAGCAGAAAUAUAUGCUGCUUACGAAAGGCCACGGCCGAGCUCUUGCUUGUAUCCCAGCUGCUUCAACCGCGUUGAAUCCUCAGAAAUACGAUCAAUACCAACGUUUUCAGCGUCAAAUUCACCAAGCGGAUAAUAGAGACCAGCUGCUUGAUUGCCAUUAUGCAAUCUUGAUUCAUCAGCAAAUUCCAUUCUGCAAAUAAAUCCCAAGUGUCAACACAAGCCCUCUUCAGCUAUCCUAUGGCAGAUGCCACUUCUGUUAUACUUCCGGAUAUCUAAGAGUCUAAAGCGUAGCAACCUAAUCUGAUUUGUUGGUUUCUUUUACUCUUUUAUGGUGUCUGAGAAGAAAACUAAAGGAGGUUGAAGAAGGGUGAGGAGUGAAGAGUUGUGGCAAAGCUAUAAAUUCAGAGUUGAGAUUUUUGCUUAUUUAUUAAGCAUGCAAUGAUUCGUGCACGCAAGAGGGGAAAUGAGGCAAUUAUAUGCGUAGAAAGGCUUGGGUGAUUACAUUUGCAUGAUGUGACAGCUGCCUAAAAAUUGACAACAUGGGACGAAGUUCUUGAAGCCCACAUGAAAAUAUCAAGCAAGUACUAGAUUUUGAUUGGGAUUCUGUUGAAUACUUUUCUGAUUGAGAAUAUUCAUCUGGCUAGUUAAGGCAAAUGUGUGACUUGGUGCAUGUGAUAUGCAGUAAAUUGAGAAGGAUUUUCGAAUUUGCUCGGACAAGAAAAGUUCAAGAAGAUGAGAAAAUAUAAGCAAUAUUAGUGUUUGAGACCAAGGGUUAAUUAAUGUGCCUAAAGGCCUUAAACUAGGCUACUAGAUGAUUUGAAGAAUUAAUAAUUGACGAUUCAAAAAUGAUUGACAAAUCCCAUUAAUAUAUAUGGAUUAUUCAGCAAAGGAAAGGAAAAUGAAAGGGAAAAAACAAAUUAUAUGGAUCUCCUAUACUGCCGAAUCGCGGAACGAGGAGCUAUUAGGCUGAAAUUGGGCAUUCUCGAUAUGGGCUCCGGUUCUCCCACAUUGAUUUUCAAUGGUCUAGCAUAUGCAGGUAUAUCAUGGUAACGGCAAAUAUUGACGUUGUUAGCUUACUGAAAAUGCAUAUCAAUCUAUCUCGUAAUGGAAAAUUUUACAUUUACACACAAAAAAUGUGCAUUUUGCAUUCGGUUAAAUUAUUGUGAAAUUACUACAUUACCUUUGUUGGCAUCGAGAAAUUUUGACCAUAUGACCUCAAAAUAAUCAAUCAAAACCAUCAAAUAUUUGUCUUUCUUGCAUGAAUCAAAUUAUUUUUAGUUAGAUCUUCAUAAAGGGAAGGUUAAUUAGGAAGAGUGUAUAGAUGUAAAGAAGAGUAAUAAUUGUUAAUGUGUCCGAAUUUUAGAAAGAAAAGGUUAAUUAGGAAAAGUGUAAAAUUGUAAGGAAGAGUAAUAAUUGUUAAUGUGCACAUAUAUAUGGUAGGUUAGAUGGAAUUUAGGUGUAUUAGCGAAGAUGUUGGUUAGAAAAAAACUAUGAAGAAAACCCUUCUUUUUAUAUGGGGUUUCAAUUAAUUGCGGUAUCAUCUCAAAAAUAUCUUAUUAGGUUAUUUUUUUGGUACUGGGAGAGAUACAUUUGAGUCUAAAUCAACGCAUUAUUGAAUAGAAUCCCCUAACUAACUAAAACAAAGCCAAACUCACUAAGGUUAAAAAAAAUCAUUAAGGUUUUUCCUUUAUUAUUUGAGUAGCUUUACUUAGAAUCUUUUCUCUCGAGGGCAUACAAGAGCCCUUCCUCUCUUCUUCCACUUAGGUUUUUAUUUUCUUUUCUUAGGUUUGUUAAACAAGUAACCUAUAGGCACAUAUUGGGACUUAAUUGUUACCUUUUUGAAAAGAUUAAGUUAAAUCAAGAAAGCAUCUAAAUGUAACAAGCACAAUAAAUGUAAAUUUGAAAUGUGUAAAUGGUAAUCACCAAAUUUAAGUGCACUAAUCAUCCAUCAGUGCCUAAUUUCUUUCUUUUUCAUUCCUUGUGCAAUUGAUAGCUUUUAUAUGGCAAUAUUAUUUCCAUAACUUGUGGUGCUACCCGUAAACUACCCUAACUUACACUUUAAAUAAGGGCAUCAAAGCAUUGAGAUUCACCUUUGCCUUCUCUGCAACACCUUUGCUUUCUUGCUAAUUUGACUCAACAAUGGGUAACUUGUUUUGCAAGAAGACAGGUGAAGGGAACGGGGACAAUGGUUGUUUGACGUGUUUUGGAGUGCAGCAGCCUAUGGAGACAAUUCGUGUUGAGAAAGAGCUUAGAAUGAAAUCCACGAUCACACACCGUUUUCCUGCGGGUUCCAACACCAGUUAUGGCCGUUUUCCCACGGGUUACAACAACAAUUAUGGUUCACAAAGUAGAUAUGUAAACACCUAAACUCGGACAACAUGGCUUGAUAAGUACUUUGGUCAGAUUAGUUGCUUUAACAGUCUAGUAUUGCGUGAGAAUUAUCUAUUCUUAAUUAUCACUAUGUUACUUGGUUUGUUAGGGAAGGAUUAAUAUUAAGGUUUAAUAGUUGUUUUACUUUUGUUCUUUGUCUCCUCAUAAGUCAUGGACUUAUAUUGUGUUGGCAAAGCCUUUUGACUAUGAAUAUUUGGGAUAUGGAUUAUUUUCUUAAAGUUGAUUAGCGAUCCUUGGAGUUAUAUUAUGCGAAUGGCUUGAUUCCCUUGAAGUUGAUAUUUUGUGUUAAAAAUCUGGUGAAUUGCUAGACUGCUUGGGAGGCUGAUCAUCCCUAAUCUUUAUUCUUGUUAGGGUGUUCUCUCUUUUUUUUUUUUUUUUUGGGUUCUUGUUUGAAUGAUAAAGAAGGUUAAUAAAAUUGUGUACAACACAACGUAAACACACACGUAGUAAGCAGACUUCGACAAGGCCAACUUUACAAAAAAAAAUUGAAUAAAAUGAAUCGCUCAAAUAUCAAGUCAGUUUAUUAGAUAUGACCGACCUUUGAUGCAGUAAUUGGUGACAAAGAAUUGGCAAAAUUUGAAUACGAAUUGGUUGGUAUUUUGCAACUCUUUUGGCUCCAUUCUUAACAUGGGGAAACCUCUUGGUGCGUGUCAUUGGACCAAUAUAUGCUUCAUGAAACUUUACUACCAACUUCAAAGGUGUUCUAAUGUUGGAAACCGAAUUGUGAACGUUCUUGAUUUCAAAUUCGUUUUUUUUACUUCUUUGGCUCCCCAGACGAGCAAUUUUCAGCUUCCUCUUCAUUUUAAUUGCAUCUUCGAGUCUUUGAUAUCUCUUUCUCCACAAAUACCUCUUUAAUCCAUCAAAGCAUCCCAAAGGAAGAAUAUCCACUUAGUGUUUUGGUUGAGAAAGAGAGAGAGACCCGGAAAGUUGUGUUGCAUGAAGAUUAAUUUGAAUAGGGCACUAUAUAAUCUGAUAAAUGUCAACCAAAAUAAAAAGUUUGACAAAGAAAAUGUCAAAAUUGGCAUGGAAUUGAAUCUAGUAUGUACCUAUGCUGAGUUCAAUAUUAUUAUAGCAUAACUAAAUAUUGACGGAUUCCAACUCAAGUUACCUAUGUUGCUGCUGAUUCAGGAAACGGGCUAGCCAGAAAUUAUACACAAAACAAAAGAGGCAAAUAGGAAAAAUAAACAAAAUUACUAGCCGGGCUUAUUUUAGUUCAGAUCAAUGAGAAUGGUGCUUGUAACUUUUGCUAUAACUAUGAGUCAAAAUUUGAAUCGGUACAGAAAAAUAAAAAAGAAACACAUUUGACAUUUUCAACUUUUACAAACCGCAAAAGGUGAAAAAAAAAUUUUUUGGUCAAGGCAUCUUGACAAAAAUUUUUAAAUAGAGAAGAAUAGGAUAAGCUAUGCUUAUUCUUACGGUCCUUCUUGAGGACUAGAUAACCUAUGACAGUUGGUAUGGGUACUCAAAACCCCAUUAAAUUGAACUGUAUCAACAUCCAUUAUUAGAAAUAUUGGAUCAUCAUGGCCUAUUGAAUGAAUUGAUGAUUUUAUAUUUAUUUGGUAAUCGCAGUUAUUUUAGUCAUUUAGUUCAACAUUUGUGCAUGAUUUAUGUAGUUUAAAAAGGGUGAGGGAACUUUAAAGAGUAAGAUUCGACCUUCUGAUUGAAUGUUCUAAUUCAUUUGUAAUACCUGUUUCUACCCAUACCCAUGCAUGAAAAUAUAUACAUUGCAUUAUCUCCAAUGCUCAAUAAAUUACGUCUAUCUAGCUAGGUGGAUUAAGAGUUUAAGAUGGUUAUGAAACCCGGAAUGCAAGAAAUGUUAUUCUCAAAAAAAAAGGGGAUGCAAUAAACCUGUAUAAGUUGUUACAUAAAAUUGGACAUCAGUUACAAGGGAAGCAUAAGUUAGACACUAGUUAAACCCAAGAAACCCAUGCCAUUUGAGUCCUUAGGGUGAAUUUGCAAACUGCGGCAAGUUCGUCUCCUUUUGAUCACUAGUUAAACCCAAGAAACCCUCUGAACAUGUUUGGGACUUCUUUGCAUUUGGUUACCAAAGGUGUAGCCUUAAUUGUUUUCAACAUUCUGGAAUAGGCCGAGGCAGUAAUUUACGGUUUUUCAAAAAAGCAUGUCCUAUUUUAGAAAUUUUUCUCCUUUUUGUAAAGCACGAAAACUUCGUUCAAGUACUGUAUUUUAUUUUUCAUUUGUUAUUGUCAAAUUACGAUUAAGAUUCCUCAAAUCAAGUGAAUGAAAAUUCUAGAUUGAUUGGAAAUGAUGGUCAUGAUUUUGGAGAUUAUUAACAACAAGGGUAUGUUUCCAUGUGUAAAUUAUAGCACGUAGACUUGUUUUGCUUGCUUGUUUUACAACCUUAUAAAAUAUUAAUUAAUAUUUUAUACACUGACAGUAUAUAUACUUUCAUCAUUAGAUAUAUGACACAUAAUCUAAAUUUGAAUUUAAAACCUAAAUUUUAUAUGAGUUAAUCUUAUAUACACUGAUAGUGUAUAUAAGAUUAUAAAAUCUUAUCAGUGUUGAAUGAAUGACAAUUAUAUAAAAUUUGAAUUUGAAUUUGAAAUUCAACUUUUGUACACAUGUCAUGAAUCAAACGGUGAUAGUGUAUAUACACUUUCAGUAUAGAAAUGAUUAAUCCAUUUUGUAUAUAUGUCGUGCAUCCAACUGUGAUAGUGUAUACAUCGUCAGUAUAUAUAAUAUUUACUCAUAAAAUAUUGUUAAAGUUCUCAAUCCAUGACUAAGAAUUGAGAGAACAUAAAACUGAAUUUCUGUUAACCUCCCCAAAGACUUGUAACUCACACUUCUGCCAUAUAUAGUUUUUGGUUUUCCUUUUUUAUCCCUUGUUUGAAAGAUGUAGUUAGCCGAUCUUUUUGUAUCCUUAUUUUUAUUCAGGGUGCAAUUCACGAAAGAAUCUCCUAAUUCUCAUUCUUGAAAUAAGGGAUUGAAAAGAGAUUUCCUCAACAUUUUCUGCGCAUGAGCAAUGGGUAGAGCAACAUGUUGUUAAAGAAUUUAUGUUUUGGGGGGGGGGGGGAAUGCUCAUUUCUGAAUUUGCAAUUUAUUGUAAUCUAACACUUGUACAAUUUGGUUAGGCAAGAAUUGCUCGGAUGUUAGCCUAAAUUGUCCGAUUAUUAAAAAAUAUGGACAAAAUUAUACUGUUGGCUAAAUUAUCUUAUGUGCAAGCCAAAUUAGCUCAUGUCCAAUAUUUAUAUGCAUUGAUGCAUAAAAUAAAGGUCACAGAUAUAGAAACAACAACAACCAAACACGAGGCAGCUACAAUAACAUGACUAUGGUUCUUUUGAAUGAGAUACUUACCAAUAGUAGGGUUAGGAACAAGGCACAGGUAAAUAUUGACCUUAUCUGCCAUUUCCCCCACUUCAGCUUCUUUGGUUUCACAAGAUGACCUGCCAAAUUUGCCAAGAGGACAACCACAAGACAGCAGAACACAUACAAUCCCCACGGUGUCAAGGGUUCGGAGAAAGAAGCUACAGGAGGAUUUGUAAAAAUCCCAAAUGUCGUCCUCAUGGAUUGGGUUUGAUAGGCCAACCUUUGGUAGACAUAGAGGACAGGAGGCAAAUGACGAUGCCGUGGGAGAUAGAAAUAGGGAGGAUGGAACAAGGUAACGGGCGGGGGCAGAGGCGGACCGGGGACAGGACGACUGAACUACUUACGACCACCAUGGAGGAUUACGGCUUGCGUUGUGAUUUUCUCCUCUAAUUAAGAAUAUGUUUUGAUUUUUAUGUUUUUUUUUUUUUUUUAUUUUCCCUUCAUUUAUAUUUAGCUUUGCCUCCCUGAACUUAGGCCCUUGUAACACUUUACCUUCCAACCUCCAAAUAUAUACAUUUCACCCCUUAUGGUCAACUUUUUGAUUGGGUUGAAAUGAAGUUAUAUUUUUCAUGACCAAAAUAUUCCUGCCUAAUUCUUAAACACACAUAAUAAUUGUAACAAAAUAAAUACCUAUUUCUUUAAUAGUUGUUAAAUGCAUCUAAAUACAAUUACACUAUCCAUUUCAAAUUUUUUAGCAGUAAAAUGAAUUAGAUAAUUCACCAAAAAAAGCCUAAGAAAUUCAAUGUAUUUAUCUCAACACUCAUAGCAAUACUUAUUUUAAAUGAAAUAAAAUUAAUUAGUGCAUUUAGAAUGAAAUAAUUUUGCUUUAUUCUUUUAUUGUAGCAUUUUUUAUUGUGUUUUGUAUGAGAUAAAAAUGAUUAAAAAUAAAAAUUUAUUGAAAAAUGUAUUUAGAAAAUUUUUAGCUUUUUUAAAUAUACUAUUCAAAUAAAAUAAAAAGCAAGAUGUGAUGCAGUAUAAAAUUACCAAAUAGCAUCUUAUUGACUCGUGAAAAUCUUGUGACAGUUGCAAAUUAAAUGAAAAUUAUCAAAAAUAAUCCGUUUACAAUUUAAAGGAAGAAAGAUAAGUGAUGGAAAACUUGUACAGAUGUUUUAGGAAUUUUUAAAUUCUUUUUUUCUCCACAAUACAAUUUUUCAAUUCUUUGGUAUUAUACCAUCUUUUAUUUUUAAUUUUUUAAAUCAUGUAACUUUGUGCUUUGUCUAAUAAGAUGUUUCAUAUUCCGAUUAAAAGUAUAAUAUUAGUAUAUAAUUAUUAUGUAAGGGAAUUAAUGUGAUUUUGUUAAAAUUUUGGAUGGAGAAUUCAUCAUUGACGACUAGCCAAUGAAAAGGAUAAAGUAUGUUUAGGGGGGUAAAGUGUUAUAAAGGGUUGAAUUUAGGGGGGCAAACUGUAAUUAAUCCUUAUAUUUAUUUAUCUAUUAUCUAUUAUUAUAUAAUAUAAUGAUGUUGCUUCCUUUUUAUAAUUUCUAAUUUACCCUUCACCUAAAGUCAUAUCAUCAUAUUUACUUAUAAUCAUUUCAAGUUCUUUGGUUUUGUUAAGUGGCCUCAUCAACAUUUAUGUUUCUGUUAAGCAGUAAUUAAGAUAUAGGAGUUUAGAAUCCAUAAAGAGCUAUUUAGGGUGGUGCUUUCCGAAUUUGUGAGAUUGAUGGCUUCAACGUAUUAUGGAGGAGUUUGGUGUGAAAACGGAAAUUGGAAAUCCCAGCAAGAAUGCUCUCUGGUUGAUAUAUAUAUAGACUUGGUCUCCUCAUUUCUUUACCAUUUUGUGCUUGCUGCUGCAUGAAUUUGACUAUAUAACACUCAUAAAAAGCAGACUUUGAAGUGUUAUCUAAUUACUACAGUAUUCCUUAGUUGCUUUUUUUUUCUUAGCUUCUUGGAACACUAUUGAACAUUUCGUUUUUUGAUGUUUCCGUCGACUCUCAAUAGGAAUGUGAAUUAGUCCUCAAGUGGCCGCCAUAUUCUCUUUAGUUCACAAAAGUACUCAACAAUUGCCCCAGUAAGCUGGCCUGAGUUAAAUUUGAACAUAUAGUCUGAAUCAGUACUUGACUGUAAAAGGGCAAUAAAGAACUCAGUUGCCGGCAAAUAUGAGGAAAAGUUUAUUAUAGUUGAUGGGGCUUCAUUCCUUCUCAAGGAUGAUACGAUUUACAAGAACUGUAGAGAAGAAUAAAGGCUGCAUCUUUAGGUGCAUUCACGAGGAGUGAAAUAGUACAAACAAUGAAUUAAACUUGGAGAGUAGGGGAUUGAAAAGAAGAGUUACUCGUUCAUGCAAGACUCUGAAUGCCAUCGAUCCAAUGUCAUGGCGUAGACAGUCAAGAAUAAAAGAUGAGGAGAAAAUAAUUGAUUAUUCACCAUCAAAGACAAUUUGAUCAGUAAAGUUCUGGGAUGAGGGAUGAUUGCUGAUCACGUGUAGAAACCACUCUUUUGUAGAUUUCCACCACAGCUCGACUGUCAACCAUUUCAUUGGUUGGUCCCGACACCAUUGGAAUUGGUUUGCAUUUUGCAGCUCUUUUGGCUUCAUUGCUAACAUGGUCAAUUCUUUUGGUGCCUGCCAAACGUAUCAUUGCAUCCAUAUAUGCUUCAUGAAGCCUUGCUACCAGCUUCACGGGUGUAAUAAUCUUGAACCUGAAUUUCUCAACUUUCUUGAUCUUCACUUCCUUUUGGCUGUUUCUCUUGCUCCCUAGCCUUGCAAUCUUCAGCUUCCUUUUCAUCUUAAUUGAAUCAUCCAAUCUUUGGUAUCUCCUCCUCCUCCAGCACCUCUUUAAUCCGUCCAAGUAUCCAAAAGGAAGGAUAUCCAUUUUCCUUUUUUUUUCGAAUGUGUGUACUAGAACGUGUUUUUGUGAGCUAGAUAGAAAAGGAAUUCUUGUGUUAC
This 19011-nucleotide long non-coding RNA is filed under the name Coffea arabica (coffee). Its description in RNAcentral is "long non-coding RNA (CARA_LNC007952)". The record is from RNAcentral. Lineage: Eukaryota; Viridiplantae; Streptophyta; Magnoliopsida; Gentianales; Rubiaceae.